AGUGAACGCUGGCGGUAGGCCUAACACAUGCAAGUCGAACGGCAGCACAGUAAGAGCUUGCUCUUACGGGUGGCGAGUGGCGGACGGGUGAGGAAUACAUCGGAAUCUACUUUUUCGUGGGGGAUAACGUAGGGAAACUUACGCUGAUACCGCAUACGACCUACGGGUGAAAGCAGGGGAUCUUCGGACCUUGCGCGAUUGAAUGAGCCGAUGUCGGAUUAGCUAGUUGGCGGGGUAAAGGCCCACCAAGGCGACGAUCCGUAGCUGGUCUGAGAGGAUGAUCAGCCACACUGGGACUGAGACACGGUCCAGACUCCUACGGGAGGCAGCAGUGGGGAAUAUUGGACAAUGGGCGCAAGCCUGAUCCAGCCAUACCGCGUGGGUGAAGAAGGCCUUCGGGUUGUAAAGCCCUUUUGUUGGGAAAGAAAAGCAGCAGGUUAAUACCCCGCUGUUCUGACGGUACCCAAAGAAUAAGCACCGGCUAACUUCGUG
This 492-nucleotide ribosomal RNA is filed under the name uncultured bacterium. Its description in RNAcentral is "partial 16S ribosomal RNA". It matches the Rfam family "Bacterial small subunit ribosomal RNA", at positions 29 to 507 of the family's 1533-position model. The record is from RNAcentral.